RNAcentral lists this ribosomal RNA (446 nucleotides) under uncultured organism. RNAcentral describes it as "partial 16S ribosomal RNA". It matches the Rfam family "Bacterial small subunit ribosomal RNA", at positions 334 to 797 of the family's 1533-position model. The record is from RNAcentral.
CACUCCUGCGGGAGGCAGCAGUGGGGAAUAUUGGACAAUGGGCGCAAGCCUGAUCCAGCCAUGCCGCGUGAGUGAUGAAGGCCCUAGGGUUGUAAAGCUCUUUCACCGGUGAAGAUAAUGACGGUAACCGGAGAAGAAGCCCCGGCUAACUUCGUGCCAGCAGCCGCGGUAAUACGAAGGGGGCUAGCGUUGUUCGGAUUUACUGGGCGUAAAGCGCACGUAGGCGGACUAUUAAGUCAGGGGUGAAAUCCCGGGGCUCAACCCCGGAACUGCCUUUGAUACUGGUAGUCUUGAGUUCGAGAGAGGUGAGUGGAAUUCCGAGUGUAGAGGUGAAAUUCGUAGAUAUUCGGAGGAACACCAGUGGCGAAGGCGGCUCACUGGCUCGAUACUGACGCUGAGGUGCGAAAGCGUGGGGAGCAAACAGGAUUAGAAACCCGGGUAGUCCC